Molecule: ribosomal RNA, 551 nt
Filed under: Spectamen sp. SW-2012
Lineage: Eukaryota; Metazoa; Mollusca; Gastropoda; Trochida; Solariellidae
Description: partial 16S ribosomal RNA
Rfam family: Bacterial large subunit ribosomal RNA
Source: RNAcentral
CGCUCUUUGUAGAAAAUAAAUGUUAUAUAAAGAGUCGGACCUGCCCAGUGACGUGAUGUUAAACGGCCGCGGUACUCUGACCGUGCAAAGGUAGCAUAAUCACUUGCCUUUUAAUUGAAGGCUUGUAUGAAUGGUUUGACGAGAGCUUAGCUGUCUCCUUUUAAAUAUUUAGAAAUUAAUUUAUAGGUGAAGAGGCCUAUAUGAAUUUGAGGGACAAGAAGACCCUGUUGAGUUUAAGUGAAAUUGAGAAAUGUGUUGUUAUCAAUUGUUGAAAUAGGUAGUUAAUUAUAUAUAUGUAAAGAUUAUGUUUUUCUUUAAUCUUUAGUUGGGGCGACUAAGGAGCAUAAAAAGCUUCCUUUUAUUUGUUAUGGCUAGUAAGUUAGUUUGAUCCAGUUUUUAUUGAUCAAAGGAAAAAAUUACCACAGGGAUAACAGCGUAAUCUUUUUGGAGAGUUCUAAUCGAAGAAAGGGUUUGCGACCUCGAUGUUGGACUAAGAUAUCCCAGAGGUGUAGAAGUUUCUGAGGGUUGGUCUGUUCGACCAUUAAAAUCUU